AACGAACGCUGGCGGCAUGCCUAACACAUGCAAGUCGAACGAGACCUUCGGGUCUAGUGGCGCACGGGUGCGUAACGCGUGGGAACCUGCCCUUAGGUUCGGAAUAACUCCCCGAAAGGGGUGCUAAUACCGGAUAAUGUCUUCGGACCAAAGAUUUAUCGCCUUUGGAUGGGCCCGCGUUGGAUUAGCUAGUUGGUAGGGUAAAAGCCUACCAAGGCGACGAUCCAUAGCUGGUCUGAGAGGAUGAUCAGCCACACUGGGACUGAGACACGGCCCAGACUCCUACGGAAGGCAGCAGUGGGGAAUAUUGGACAGUGGGCGAAAGCCUGAUCCAGCAAUGCCGGGUGAGUGAUGAAGGCCUUAGGGUUGUAAAGCUCUUUUACCCGGGAUGAUAAUGACAGUACCGGGAGAAUAAGCUCCGGCUAACUCCGUG
Molecule: ribosomal RNA, 433 nt
Filed under: uncultured bacterium
Lineage: Bacteria
Description: partial 16S ribosomal RNA
Rfam family: Bacterial small subunit ribosomal RNA
Source: RNAcentral